UACGUAGGGGGCAAGCGUUAUCCGGAUUUACUGGGUGUAAAGGGAGCGUAGACGGCGGUGCAAGCCAGAUGUGAAAGCCCGGGGCUCAACCCCGGGACUGCAUUUGGAACUGUGCUGCUAGAGUGUCGGAGAGGCAGGCGGAAUUCCUAGUGUAGCGGUGAAAUGCGUAGAUAUUAGGAGGAACACCAGUGGCGAAGGCGGCCUGCUGGACGAUGACUGACGUUGGGGCUCGAAAGCGUGGGGAGCAAACAGG
RNAcentral lists this ribosomal RNA (253 nucleotides) under uncultured bacterium. Its description in RNAcentral is "partial 16S ribosomal RNA". It matches the Rfam family "Bacterial small subunit ribosomal RNA", at positions 524 to 776 of the family's 1533-position model. The record is from RNAcentral.